AACGAACGCUGGCGGCAGGCUUAACACAUGCAAGUCGAGCGAGGACUUCGGUCCUAGCGGCGGACGGGUGAGUAACGCGUGGGAACGUGCCCUUCUCUCUGGAAUAGCCCUGGGAAACUGGGAGUAAUGCCGGAUACGCCCUGCAAGGGGGAAAGAUUUAUCGGGGAAGGAUCGGCCCGCGUUGGAUUAGGUAGUUGGUGGGGUAAUGGCCUACCAAGCCGACGAUCCAUAGCUGGUUUGAGAGGAUGAUCAGCCACACUGGGACUGAGACACGGCCCAGACUCCUACGGGAGGCAGCAGUGGGGAAUCUUGGACAAUGGGGGCAACCCUGAUCCAGCCAUGCCGCGUGAUCGAUGAAGGCCUUAGGGUUGUAAAGAUCUUUCAGCUGGGAAGAUAAUGACGGUACCAGCAGAAGAAGCCCCGGCUAACUCCGUGCCAGCCGCCGCCGUAACAC
This 454-nucleotide ribosomal RNA is filed under the name uncultured bacterium. Its description in RNAcentral is "bacterial SSU rRNA". It matches the Rfam family "Bacterial small subunit ribosomal RNA", at positions 29 to 526 of the family's 1533-position model. The record is from RNAcentral.